UAUGAGAUUCAAGCUUUGUAAAAUAUCAGUAUCCACUUGUCACCAGCUCGGAAGACAUCAAAAUUUUUUCUCUAGUUCUCAUUUUUUCCUUUAAUCAAUUCUGUGAUUAAAAAUGUGCGGACCUUGUGGUGGCUGUGGACCUUGUGGACCUUGCGGUCCUUGCUGUGGUCCUUGUGGACCUUGCGGUCCUUGCUGCGGACCUUGUGGUCCCUGCUGUGCACCAUGCGGACCGUGUUGUGGACCUUGUGGACCUUGCUGCGGACCAUGCGGCAAAAGGAACGGACUUCAAUGCCCUUGAGGCUUAGUUGCGUUGUUUAGAAAACUGUACAUUUGAACCCUGGGUUCAUGACUCACCAACAGCAUCUUCUCCAGAAUUGCUUCUUAAAGGUUGUGGAGACUAGAGAUAUUACUUGUGUAAUUUAACAGUCUUCAAUAAAAUACGAAAAUACUAGAACAAAUUA
RNAcentral lists this small RNA (461 nucleotides) under Drosophila ananassae. Its description in RNAcentral is "GF27113". Lineage: Eukaryota; Metazoa; Arthropoda; Insecta; Diptera; Drosophilidae. The record is from RNAcentral.